CAGCGGGAUAACCCGGAGAAAUCCGGCCUAAUACCGCAUGUGGCCGAGGGGAGGCAUCUUCUUUCGGCCAAAGGAGGCGACUCCGGAGACGGAUGGGCAUGCGUGACAUUAGCUUGUUGGCGGGGUAACGGCCCACCAAGGCGACGAUGUCUAGGGGUUCUGAGAGGAAGGUCCCCCACACUGGUACUGAGACACGGACCAGACUCCUACGGGAGGCAGCAGUGAGGAAUAUUGGUCAAUGGGCGAGAGCCUGAACCAGCCAAGUCGCGUGAAGGAUGACGGCCCUACGGGUUGUAAACUUCUUUUGUCAGGGAGCAAUUGGGUCCACGUGUGGGCUUAGCGAGAGUACCUGAAGAAAAAGCAUCGGCUAACUCCGUGCCAGCAGCCGCGGUAAUACGGAGGAUGCGAGCGUUAUCCGGAUUUAUUGGGUUUAAAGGGUGCGUAGGCGGAAUAUCAAGUCAGCGGUAAAAAUUCGGGGCUCAACCCCGUCGUGCCGUUGAAACUGAUGUUCUUGAGUGGGCGAGAAGUAUGCGGAAUGCGUGGUGUAGCGGUGAAAUGCAUAGAUAUCACGCAGAACUCCGAUUGCGAAGGCAGCAUACCGGCGCCCAACUGACGCUGAAGCACGAAAGCGUGGGUAUCGAACAGGAUUAGAUACGCUGGUAGUCCACGCAGUAAACGAUGAAUGCUAAUUGUCCGGAGGGAUUGACCUCUGGGUGAUACAG
RNAcentral lists this ribosomal RNA (722 nucleotides) under uncultured bacterium. Its description in RNAcentral is "bacterial SSU rRNA". It matches the Rfam family "Bacterial small subunit ribosomal RNA", at positions 136 to 851 of the family's 1533-position model. The record is from RNAcentral.